GUCGAGCGAACAGACGAGGAGCUUGCUCCUCUGACGUUAGCGGCGGACGGGUGAGUAACACGUGGAUAACCUACCUAUAAGACUGGGAUAACUUCGGGAAACCGGAGCUAAUACCGGAUAAUAUAUUGAACCGCAUGGUUCAAUAGUGAAAGACGGUUUUGCUGUCACUUAUAGAUGGAUCCGCGUCGCAUUAGCUAGUUGGUAAGGUAACGGCUUACCAAGGCAACGAUGCGUAGCCGACCUGAGAGGGUGAUCGGCCACACUGGAACUGAGACACGGUCCAGACUCCUACGGGAGGCAGCAGUAGGGAAUCUUCCGCAAUGGGCGAAAGCCUGACGGAGCAACGCCGCGUGAGUGAUGAAGGUCUUCGGAUCGUAAAACUCUGUUAUUAGGGAAGAACAAAUGUGUAAGUAACUAUGCACGUCUUGACGGUACCUAAUCAGAAAGCCACGGCUAACUACGUGCCAGCAGCCGCGGUAAUACGUAGGUGGCAAGCGUUAUCCGGAAUUAUUGGGCGUAAAGCGCGCGUAGGCGGUUUUUUAAGUCUGAUGUGAAAGCCCACGGCUCAACCGUGGAGGGUCAUUGGAAACUGAAAAACUUGAGUGCAGAAGAGGAAGGUGGAAUUCCAUGUGUAGCGGUGAAAUGCGCAGAGAUAUGGAGGAACACCAGUGGCGAAGGCGACUUUCUGGUCUGUAACUGACGCUGAUGUGCGAAAGCGUGGGGAUCAAACAGGAUUA
This 737-nucleotide ribosomal RNA is filed under the name uncultured Staphylococcus sp. Its description in RNAcentral is "bacterial SSU rRNA". It matches the Rfam family "Bacterial small subunit ribosomal RNA", at positions 61 to 780 of the family's 1533-position model. The record is from RNAcentral. Lineage: Bacteria; Bacillati; Bacillota; Bacilli; Caryophanales; Staphylococcaceae.